This 253-nucleotide ribosomal RNA is filed under the name uncultured bacterium. RNAcentral's name for it is "partial 16S ribosomal RNA". It matches the Rfam family "Bacterial small subunit ribosomal RNA", at positions 524 to 776 of the family's 1533-position model. The record is from RNAcentral.
GACGGAGGGUGCAAGCGUUGUUCGGAAUUACUGGGCGUAAAGGGCUCGUAGGCGGUUUGUCGCGUCGGGAGUGAAAACUCAGGGCUCAACCCUGAGCGUGCUUCCGAUACGGGCAGACUAGAGGUAUGCAGGGGAGAACGGAAUUCCUGGUGUAGCGGUGGAAUGCGCAGAUAUCAGGAGGAACACCGGUGGCGAAGGCGGUUCUCUGGGCAUUACCUGACGCUGAGGAGCGAAAGCAUGGGGAGCGAACAGG